ACUCCUACGGGAGGCAGCAGUGGGGAAUAUUGCACAAUGGGCGCAAGCCUGAUGCAGCCAUGCCGCGUGUAUGAAGAAGGCCUUCGGGUUGUAAAGUACUUUCAGCAGUGAGGAAGGUGGGUAUGUUAAUAGCAUAUUCAUUUGUACGUUAGCUGCAGAAGAAGCACCGGCUAACUCCGUGCCAGCAGCCGCGGUAAUACGGAGGGUGCGAGCGUUAAUCGGAAUUACUGGGCGUAAAGCGCAUGCAGGUGGUUUGUUAAGUCAGAUGUGAAAGCCCGGGGCUCAACCUCGGAAUUGCAUUUGAAACUGGCAAACUAGAGUACCGUAGAGGGUAGGGU
Molecule: ribosomal RNA, 338 nt
Filed under: uncultured bacterium
Lineage: Bacteria
Description: bacterial SSU rRNA
Rfam family: Bacterial small subunit ribosomal RNA
Source: RNAcentral